GAGUUUGAUCCUGGCUCAGGACGAACGCUGGCGGCGUGCCUAACACAUGCAAGUCGAACGGAGAUAUGAUUUCGGUUGUAUCUUAGUGGCGAACGGGUGAGUAACGCGUGAGCAACCUGACCUUCAGAGGGGGAUAACACUCGGAAACGAGUGCUAAUACCGCAUAAGACCACGACAUGACAUCAUGACGAGGUCAAAGGAGCAAUCCGCUGAGGGAGGGGCUCGCGUCCCAUUAGAUAGAUGGCGGGGUAACGGCCCACCAUGUCCGCGAUGGGUAGCCGAGCUGAGAGGCUGAUCGGCCACACUGGAACUGAGACACGGUCCAGACUCCUACGGGAGGCAGCAGUGGGGAAUAUUGGGCAAUGGGCGCAAGCCUGACCCAGCAACGCCGCGUGAGGGAAGAAGGCUUUCGGGUUGUAAACCUCUGUCCUUGGUGACGAAAAAAAUGACGGUAGCCAAGGAGGAAGCCCCGGCUAACUACGUGCCAGCAGCCGCGGUAAUACGUAGGGGGCGAGCGUUGUCCGGAAUUACUGGGCGUAAAGGGUGCGUAGGUGGCCUUUUAAGUUGGAUGUGAAAUCCCCGAGCUUAACUUGGGUGGUGCAUCUAAUACUGGAGGGCUAGAGUGCAGGAGAGGAAAGCGGAAUUCCUAGUGUAGCGGUGAAAUGCGUAGAUAUUAGGAGGAAACACCAGUGGCGAAGGCGGCUUUCUGGACUGUAACUGACACUGAGGCACGAAAGCGUGGGGAGCAA
This 749-nucleotide ribosomal RNA is filed under the name uncultured bacterium. Its description in RNAcentral is "bacterial SSU rRNA". It matches the Rfam family "Bacterial small subunit ribosomal RNA", at positions 9 to 771 of the family's 1533-position model. The record is from RNAcentral.